AUGGGAACGCGAAGAACCUUACCUACUCUUGACAUCCAGAGAACUUUCCAGAGAUGGAUUGGUGCCUUCGGGAACUCUGAGACAGGUGCUGCAUGGCUGUCGUCAGCUCGUGUUGUGAAAUGUUGGGUUAAGUCCCGCAACGAGCGCAACCCUUAUCCUUUGUUGCCAGCGGUUCGGCCGGGAACUCAAAGGAGACUGCCAGUGAUAAACUGGAGGAAGGUGGGGAUGACGUCAAGUCAUCAUGGCCCUUACGAGUAGGGCUACACACGUGCUACAAUGGCACAUACAAAGAGAAGCGACCUCGCGAGAGCAAGCGGACCUCAUAAAGUGCGUCGUAGUCCGGAUUGGAGUCUGCAACUCGACUCCAUGAAGUCGGAAUCGCUAGUAAUCAUAGAUCAGAAUGCUACGGUGAAUACGUUCCCGGGUCUUGUACACACCG
RNAcentral lists this ribosomal RNA (439 nucleotides) under uncultured bacterium. Its description in RNAcentral is "bacterial SSU rRNA". It matches the Rfam family "Bacterial small subunit ribosomal RNA", at positions 954 to 1392 of the family's 1533-position model. The record is from RNAcentral.